This 983-nucleotide ribosomal RNA is filed under the name Escherichia coli MP021552.8. RNAcentral's name for it is "bacterial LSU rRNA". It matches the Rfam family "Bacterial large subunit ribosomal RNA", at positions 1 to 1026 of the family's 2925-position model. Lineage: Bacteria; Pseudomonadati; Pseudomonadota; Gammaproteobacteria; Enterobacterales; Enterobacteriaceae. The record is from RNAcentral.
UUAAGCGACUAAGCGUACACGGUGGAUGCCCUGGCAGUCAGAGGCGAUGAAGGACGUGCUAAUCUGCGAUAAGCGUCGGUAAGGUGAUAUGAACCGUUAUAACCGGCGAUUUCCGAAUGGGGAAACCCAGUGUGAUUCGUCACACUAUCAUUAACUGAAUCCAUAGGUUAAUGAGGCGAACCGGGGGAACUGAAACAUCUAAGUACCCCGAGGAAAAGAAAUCAACCGAGAUUCCCCCAGUAGCGGCGAGCGAACGGGGAGCAGCCCAGAGCCUGAAUCAGUGUGUGUGUUAGUGGAAGCGUCUGGAAAGGCGCGCGAUACAGGGUGACAGCCCCGUACACAAAAAUGCACAUGCUGUGAGCUCGAUGAGUAGGGCGGGACACGUGGUAUCCUGUCUGAAUAUGGGGGGACCAUCCUCCAAGGCUAAAUACUCCUGACUGACCGAUAGUGAACCAGUACCGUGAGGGAAAGGCGAAAAGAACCCCGGCGAGGGGAGUGAAAAAGAACCUGAAACCGUGUACGUACAAGCAGUGGGAGCACGCUUAGGCGUGUGACUGCGUACCUUUUGUAUAAUGGGUCAGCGACUUAUAUUCUGUAGCAAGGUUAACCGAAUAGGGGAGCCGAAGGGAAACCGAGUCUUAACUGGGCGUUAAGUUGCAGGGUAUAGACCCGAAACCCGGUGAUCUAGCCAUGGGCAGGUUGAAGGUUGGGUAACACUAACUGGAGGACCGAACCGACUAAUGUUGAAAAAUUAGCGGAUGACUUGUGGCUGGGGGUGAAAGGCCAAUCAAACCGGGAGAUAGCUGGUUCUCCCCGAAAGCUAUUUAGGUAGCGCCUCGUGAAUUCAUCUCCGGGGGUAGAGCACUGUUUCGGCAAGGGGGUCAUCCCGACUUACCAACCCGAUGCAAACUGCGAAUACCGGAGAAUGUUAUCACGGGAGACACACGGCGGGUGCUAACGUCCGUCGUGAAGAGGGAAACAAC